RNAcentral lists this ribosomal RNA (449 nucleotides) under uncultured organism. RNAcentral's name for it is "partial 16S ribosomal RNA". It matches the Rfam family "Bacterial small subunit ribosomal RNA", at positions 334 to 799 of the family's 1533-position model. The record is from RNAcentral.
CACUCCUGCGGGAGGCAGCAGUGGGGAAUAUUGGACAAUGGGCGCAAGCCUGAUCCAGCCAUGCCGCGUGAGUGAUGAAGGCCCUAGGGUUGUAAAGCUCUUUCACCGGUGAAGAUAAUGACGGUAACCGGAGAAGAAGCCCCGGCUAACUUCGUGCCAGCAGCCGCGGUAAUACGAAGGGGGCUAGCGUUGUUCGGAUUUACUGGGCGUAAAGCGCACGUAGGCGGACUAUUAAGUCAGGGGUGAAAUCCCGGGGCUCAACCCCGGAACUGCCUUUGAUACUGGUAGUCUUGAGUUCGAGAGAGGGGAGUGGAAUUCCGAGUGUAGAGGUGAAAUUCGUAGAUAUUCGGAGGAACACCAGUGGCGAAGGCGGCUCACUGGCUCGAUACUGACGCUGAGGUGCGAAAGCGUGGGGAGCAAACAGGAUUAGAUACCCCGGUAGUCCCAUG